RNAcentral lists this long non-coding RNA (1607 nucleotides) under Lactuca sativa (garden lettuce). RNAcentral's name for it is "long non-coding RNA (LSAT_LNC005322)". The record is from RNAcentral. Lineage: Eukaryota; Viridiplantae; Streptophyta; Magnoliopsida; Asterales; Asteraceae.
UAUAUACGAUGUUCAGUUUCAUUUCAAUACGAUUUCGCAGCCGCUGUCAAUCUAGAUCACAAUCGUUUCUUACAUAUAUGAAAAUCAUGCAUUGUUUUCAUUAAGUUAUCGACUCAUAAUAAUCACCAAGAGUUUUAUGUGUCGAUUUUUUCUUUUCCUUCAUCAUGCACAUAGAUCUAAAAAUUAGUAAAGAUCCGCCAUAUAUACUUUGGUGUUUCGAAGAUUAUGCUGUUCGACUAUCACUCACACUAUACUUUGAUGUGUAUUCUGUUGUCAGCCUAGUAGAAUCAGAUUACUAUGAGUUAGGUGUUCAUAACAUUUCAAGAGUUGGUUUUGUAGGUUUGUCCGAGGCUCCUAGCUUGAAAAGGUAAAUUUAUAUAACGUUUUCUUAUGUAAAUGUUUCGAUUCCAAUCAAUUUUUCUGCUCAACUUUCCAAUUUAUGCUGUAUCUACUAACGUUAAUUUCAUUAGUAUAAAGCUGACAUCUACUUCAAUUCUUAUUGAAUUCUGCGUGGAGAUUAUGAGAUCGUGUUGCAGAUCUGAUCUGUAGUUCUUUACAUGCUUAAUUAUUCCUUAAAUAUCACUAAAGAUACUGAUAUGUGUGGAUCGAGUAUUAGAUCUCUUUAAAGCAAAAAGAUCUGACAGAGACUUUAGUUUUAGUAAUUUUAAUUUUUGAAUCCGAAGGUUUUUCAAUAAGUAUUUUUAUGUGUGGCAAACCAAAAAAGUUAAUUAAUGUUCAUUAUAAUAAAUAGGAUGAAGUGGUUGGCUGAGACGAAUCCUCAGAAGAUGAGGCAAAAGACGAAAGGAGGGCUACCCUGUAAGUUGUCCAACCUACAGUUAAUAUGAUUAAUUUUUAAUAUGUGCAGUUUGUAAUUCUCACCUUUAUUAUGGACUCAUUAAGUUUUAUGGGUUAAUGUUUCAUUUCAGACUGAAUUUGCUCAGGUGAUAUCAUCUACCAGCCACAUGUGUGCAUCACGGUUGUCAAUAUCUUCAGUCAAUAAAUCCGGACCAUACCUACUUAGUAUUACAUUAACCGUAUAGGCCUCUGAUGUUUAGUGUAUUAGAUAAACCGUGACAAUUUGAACUUUAUGUCUCGAUAAAUCGAGUACUGCAUUCGAUUAAACAAUCCUAAGUACAAAACAUCUACUGGGCAAUCUUAUACAUUCCUUUGCUGAUUAAAGUAACGGAUGUAGUUUUUGUUGGUUACAGGGUGGAUUAAUCUUUGUUUAAAACCUGUUUUAUUUUCUGUCAAGUUAUUGUAUGAGUAUAAAUAUAUAUGAAAUGUGUAUCUGUAUGUGUUGGUGUAUCAAUGUAUGCAUAUGAAUUUGAAUACUUCAUGAUCCUACAAACAUAUUUCACAUUACUCAUAAUCUAUUCUCAUGAGAUGCAAGCACACCUUUCAUAAAGGAACAACAUUUCAAAUGUGUUCACCUUUCAAUACCUUCCUGUAUUUGAAAAUGUCGGUCCAGCCUUUGUAGAUGGCAAAAAAAUUCACAUCUACUGAGACAUUGAAUAUGCUCAAUAAGUCUCAAAAUAUAUAAGUGGGUAUUAUUUUUAUGAUGUUUUUUUUUAAACCAAAGGGUGUUUUUUUUUUUCUUUUUUUUUUAA